UGUGAAAUGACUUGAGAG
RNAcentral lists this small nuclear RNA (18 nucleotides) under Arabidopsis thaliana (thale cress). RNAcentral describes it as "snRNA_12608". Lineage: Eukaryota; Viridiplantae; Streptophyta; Magnoliopsida; Brassicales; Brassicaceae. The record is from RNAcentral.